RNAcentral lists this ribosomal RNA (463 nucleotides) under uncultured bacterium. RNAcentral's name for it is "bacterial SSU rRNA". It matches the Rfam family "Bacterial small subunit ribosomal RNA", at positions 331 to 792 of the family's 1533-position model. The record is from RNAcentral.
CCAGACUCCUACGGGAGGCAGCAGUGAGGAAUAUUGGUCAAUGGGCGGGAGCCUGAACCAGCCAAGUCGCGUGAAGGAAGAAGGUACUUAGUAUUGUAAACUUCUUUUGUCGGGGAACAAAGGCGGAGACGCGUCUCCGGAUGAGUGUACCCGAAGAAAAAGCAUCGGCUAACUCCGUGCCAGCAGCCGCGGUAAUACGGAGGAUGCGAGCGUUAUCCGGAUUUAUUGGGUUUAAAGGGUGCGCAGGCGGAUUUUUAAGUCAGCGGUCAAAUCGUGGGGCUCAACCCCAUCCAGCCGUUGAAACUGGGGAUCUAGAGUGUGCGAGAGGUAUGCGGAAUGCGUGGUGUAGCGGUGAAAUGCAUAGAUAUCACGCAGAACCCCGAUUGCGAAGGCAGCAUACCGGUGCACAACUGACGCUCAGGCACGAAAGCGUGGGUAUCGAACAGGAUUAGAUACCCGUGUA